GAUGAACGCUGGCGGCGUGCUUAACACAUGCAAGUCGAACGAUGAAGCCCAGCUUGCUGGGUGGAUUAGUGGCGAACGGGUGAGUAACACGUGAGUAACCUGCCCUUGACUCUGGGAUAAGCCCGGGAAACUGGGUCUAAUACAGGAUAGGAGCGCCUGUCGCAUGACGGGUGUUGGAAAGAUUUUUCGGUCAUGGAUGGACUCGCGGCCUAUCAGCUUGUUGGUGGGGUAAUGGCUCACCAAGGCGACGACGGGUAGCCGGCCUGAGAGGGUGACCGGCCACACUGGGACUGAGACACGGCCCAGACUCCUACGGGAGGCAGCAGUGGGGAAUAUUGCACAAUGGGCGGAAGCCUGAUGCAGCGACGCCGCGUGAGGGAUGACGGCCUUCGGGUUGUAAACCUCUUUCAGUAGGGAAGAAGCGAAAGUGACGGUACCUGCAGAAGAAGCACCGGCUAACUACGUG
RNAcentral lists this ribosomal RNA (466 nucleotides) under uncultured bacterium. Its description in RNAcentral is "partial 16S ribosomal RNA". It matches the Rfam family "Bacterial small subunit ribosomal RNA", at positions 28 to 507 of the family's 1533-position model. The record is from RNAcentral.